This 288-nucleotide long non-coding RNA is filed under the name Pelobates cultripes (western spadefoot toad). Lineage: Eukaryota; Metazoa; Chordata; Amphibia; Anura; Pelobatidae. The record is from RNAcentral.
GGAUGUUACAGGAUUAUGGACAUUCAACAGCAGAUGGUAAUUGCUGUACUUCUGAUGGGAGAGUUACAUCGUUGUACAGAGCCAAGAGCCAAGCCAAGACUGAGAGCGACCUCGUGUCCCUCUGUUACUAUAAAGAUGUGCUAAUACUAACGUCAGCAUUUAACUCUAGCCAUAUAAGGAAAAGACCCCCGAAUCCACAUUCCAGAGCUCUCGGACAAAGAAAGCCUUGUGACUUAUUGAUACCAUCUGUUACUUAUGUCAAUCCACACAUCCAUAUAUAUAAUCAAU